Strigops habroptila (Kakapo) is the source of this 5175-nucleotide RNA transcript. It is a transcript of the gene named YAE1 maturation factor of ABCE1, with no coding region annotated. Lineage: Eukaryota; Metazoa; Chordata; Aves; Psittaciformes; Psittacidae. The record is from RefSeq and is a predicted model, not a curated record. The transcript has 4 exons.
AUGGGCUUUGAAGCCGCAGUGCUGCCGGUUAAGAUGGCGGCCAUUUACCUGAGGCGCUUGCCCUCGGUCAACAUGGCUGCCGCUCCCCUGCUGCUUCCGACGUCAGUGAAGCCGCUUUGCCGUCAGUCAAGAUGGCGGCCUCCAGCGAGCGGCGCGGCGGCUGUGGUGAGGGGACGGGGCGCGGGGCUGUGCUGGCGGCAGAGACCGAGCGAGCAGCCGGGAGAGGCGAGGCGAGGCGAGGGGAGAUGAGGGGAGGGAGAAGGAAGGCUCCGGCAGCUCGGCCGCUUGUGUGGGGCUGGGCGCCGGCCGUGGAAUGGCGUGUCGGGGCCUGGCUGGGGCGCCUCCGUUGGUUCCGCGGGGAGGGAGCCUGCGGGCUGCGGUGUCCGGGGGAAGCGGCGCGGCCGGGCGCGGGAUGGCUCUGCUGGCGCUCGGUCCCCAAGAGCCAUUGAUGCCGCUGCAGGAAACGGCACUUGUUUCUUAUUGCCGUAGUAAGGAAAGAAACGACUGCCUUAAGUUGCGCCUGUAAACCUCGGAAGUUGCUUUAUGAGCGAUGAUCUGCCCGGCUUGUCUUGACAGAUGCACCCCGGUGGUAAACAGCAUCGAGUUUCCAUGUGGAAACCAAUGUACAGGUUGAACAACCAGCUCCCUACACGACCUCUUCGGAAAUCACAUUCUCUGACUGUACUUCUACUCUGACGCUGGGCCGGGGGGGCUUCUGAGAGUACCUUUUUAACCACAUAAACAGAGGUCAUACUCAUCACUGCUGGUAUGUCCUGGGUACAAGCUGCGAUCAGCCGAUCCAGUGAGGAUAUAUUUGAUGAAGAUGCAGAUGAGAUGUGUCUGCUACAGAAAGAAUGGAACAGCACCAUGAAAAAAAGAUUGAAGGAAGGCUAUAGGGAUGGAAUUGAGGCUGGGAAAGAACUUGCGCUCCAGGAAGGCUUUAAUCAAGGUUACAGACACGGUGCUGAGCUGAUGGUUACAUGUGGCCAGUUCAGAGGAACCCUGACUGCUCUCUUAUCCUGGUGUCAUUUUAAUGGACAUGAUUCUGCCUUAAGUAAGAUAAAUAGUCUUCUUGAUGCAGUUGGAAAGCACGAAGAGGAUGUGCUUAAGUACCUGAACUCUGUUGAACAACAGCCACAUCUUGGACACAUUCUAGAUUCCGUUCAGGACAUGGACCUUAAUCACACAGCUCCAGCUGGAACAGAAUACAAUGAAAUUGAAGCUGGAAAACAUGCAGACGGUGGCAGCUCUGGUGAAAACACUUGUAGAAGUAAUGGUGAGGUUGGUUCCUCUCAGUCUGAAUGCAGCAAGGCAAAACUCUGCACAGAUCCUGAAAGAUCAACCCUUGCUUGGGUUAAAAAGCAGACUGUUUGGCUAGUAGAGCAACUGGGCUUAUCACUGGAUAUACUCCAUCAUGUCCAGCAUCUGGAACAUUAGUUUUUCUGUCUCAUGGUAUUUCAAAUUAUCUCAACUGCAUUUGACUCUCAGUUUGUGGGCUGGUGCAUCACUUCAUUUUAGGGAAAUCUGAUUUUGGUACUUCCCAUUAGAGAUAAUUUUGCAAAACUUCACCACAUUUUGGCUUCUGACAAAUAACCCCCCCUUGCUUUUAAUCUUAAAUAAACUUUCACAGAAAGCAGAAAGGACUUGUAAAGCUUUACAUGUUUCUAUUCUGUGUCAGAAUGUCAGAAGCUAUCAUUUCACCCCUACUUUCUCAUUUGGAAAUGGAGCAGGUCCCUUAAAUAGCCCCUCUAAAUCAGUCCUCUCUCAUAUCUAAAAAAUCAAUGCCCUGUGCUAUGGACAGCUGUUCUUGCAGAAUAAGCUGCUGUUGACAAUGUGCUAACUCUGUGCAAAAUAGAGCAGGAUUUGCUGCUGAUGUGAGUGUUGUGACUCUCUAGUCACUAUAUAAAAUACAGGAACUUUUCAACCUUAGUCAAAUUCUUCCUCUUAUCUUUUGUAACCACUGGGCAAUGCACUUUCACAGUUAAAAACUACUUUUUCCUCUUCAUACAGUUCUAUUUAUUUCACUUCUGCUGAAAACACACCAUUGUCUUCAGAUGCAGAAUAACUGACAAUUCCAUUGUUUUGCUGUUAGACCAUCUCCUCUCACCCUCUUAGACCACACUGAACACAUUUCCAGUCUAGUGAACUUCCUUGUGUUAUUUUGCCAGUCCUUCUAGCCUGAACUCUCUUUCCCUCAUUCCCAGAGUGUUUUUCCCAAACUCUUCAAGGAAGCCAGCCUUAUUCGCCUUCUUUUUAAAACACGUUGUCAGCCACAUAUGCAUAUUUCUGACAGCUUUGUAUUUCUGUGCCAGCAUUCUAUAUUUGACUCCUUUUCCUGCUGCUUCCCUUAACUGUAGCUGCAAAUUGCUCUGGUCUGGAAGUCUCUUCUUUGUGAAUUUCUAUCUCUGUUUUACACUAAUUAAACUGAUCUACAGUAAGUUAGGAGUUGACUUGUUUUAAGUUGCUUGUGACUUUCCUGCAUGUCUGAGACAAAGCAGGUGUAGACAGAGACAAACUGAAAUUCUGAAGAGCCAACUGAAGUAUGCUUAAAAAAAAUGAAGUAAAAUCACAAAACAGUUUUAUACUUUGAGACCAAAAAAAAGCUAAGGUAAAAAUUACUUCACUUUCAGAGACUGGGUUUACAACUUCCUUACUAAAGACUCUAUUCUCUAUUAUCCUGCCACGGAGUUGGUGGACUGUAAAUUUGGUUGUCAUUCGGUACCAGUUCUGCAUUAGGGGAAAACAGAACUGCAAUUAGGAGGCUGUCUGCAUUAAUUACGUACGUGCAAAACUCUUCAAACCGUUUUCUCAAUUUAUUUAGCAUAAUGCUGACGUGGAUAAAAUUACUUUUCCAGAGGUGCAUGUGUCAUGUUAUAGCCUGUAUCAGAUAUGUUAGAAAGAAAUUUCUUCCAUAGUGUGGUAGAAUAUGGUGCAGACAAAAAUAAAGGUUACUAGAGCAGCGUUAGACUUUCCAAAUUCAGAGGUUUAAAAAUGCAAAUGCAAGAGCGUUACUUGUGUGUAUUUAACAGUAUGCAAAGAAGAAACCCCAUUCACAAAUUACUAAGUAGACAGUGAGCUUGCCAAGUUUUCUUCAACUACUUCUGCAAAAGCAAUCUACAGAAGGGAAAAUACUUCUUUCUUGUUUGAUUAUCAAACAAUAGAUUGUGUGUUUUUCUUAUCUAUCAUAACAGCUUCUGUACUAGCUGUGGAAUUACUUUCCUCCGCUCCACAGAAAGCUUCUGUACUUACUGUGGGAUUACUUUUUUCUGUGUUAUCACCCAGAGUUUCCAGUUUGGCUGUGGAGAGGUUUUCUUUUGGGCUGUCUGUAAUACUUGGCUUAUAUGUCACUACCAAAUCUUGCUGACCAGCCACAGGAAGGCUGUCUUCGGGACUAUUAGAAUGUGUAACUUGCUCACAUGGUGGUUCAGGUUUCUGUUUCGUGUCUGCUUUCACAUCUUGUGUUUCACUGGCAGCUUUCACCUUGGCAGCAUUCCUGAAAAUAGCUCGCAUGACAACUGGGACUGACAUGCAACUGAAAGAGGAAAUAAAAGAUUAGUCACUAUUACAGACUUCAUCCACCAUUCAGCUUACUUCUUUUUUUAAACUGUGGCUGACAUCUGAAUGAUACCUGUGGUGAAAAACCAGCUACUACCUCCUUGCAUCUUUUUGCCUUGUACAACUUAAUAGUAACUACAGUGUAACUACAUGUGCUAUACCAGAAACAUAUGUUAACACAAUGAAAUCAAGUGCUGCAUCUUUGAGCUUAGGGGGGUAAAGCAGCUUUGAUUGAUAGGAAAAGCAAGAAGGGUUUGUAAAAAUAAAGUCAUAAGGGUGCUUUUAAUGAAAACCGAAACUAACAAUAUUGAAAUAUAGUAAUUCUUGCUGAGUUUUAUAUUUGUAACUUUCAUGUUUUGUAUAAAACCAGUACAGAGCAUAUUUUCUCUAAAACACUAUCUACACUAGAGUUUUUUCUCCACUCUAACAAUAGCAUUACCUGGUUCUGGGAAUAAUACCUAGUUUUAAAACAGGUUAAAAAUCCAACCUGCAUUGAUCUUGCUGUCAUCAGAUAGAUACUAGUUGUAUACUCGCUUAUGCUAAAUUAAUUAGCGCUCUCAGACCUUUCUCUAGAGUAUGUUCCUGUAUCACAGCAACUUGCCUCUUGGAAUUUGUUUCAGAAAACAAGCAAGAGACAGUGUUGUAAAUGUGUCAUAUACAUCUCACUUCUGAAAGGAAGCACUGAUUGGUGUGAGAUAUGGGAAAAGCUCUUUCCAUGCUAUUCUAAGUUAUACCAGUCAUGAGACUGUCAUCAGCUCAAGUCUUGAGAAAAGCAUGUUUACAAAAGAAAAAAGCAUCUUUAUAAAAGGUAGAAUUCUUCAUUCAAAAGUAUUUCCCUGCCCCAUGUGCUUUUUACUAGAAAGAAACACUUUCCAUCAUUCUUCAUGUUUAAAGUUUUUGAAAGAGAUACUUAAGACACCAAAGUAACUUACUCUCACUAUUAUAACUUUUUACUAGAGUGAAGUUUUCUGGUUGCUGAGUUUAUGGCAUUGUGAACACACACGAUCUUUCCAUUAAAUGGACACCUGAGGUUCAUUCGAAGCGUUGUGAAAUAAAGCUACUUACCGCUUCACAGCUCUUGUUAUAAAGUCAUCACUAGAAUUGAGAGUUGGGUCUUGAGGAUUUAAAUGAAGGUGACAUUGGAUUUCUCUGGAGGUUAUAACAUCAAUUAUCACUAAGAAAGAACAGAAUGUAAGCAAUUCAAAAUAAACAGUUUUAUAAACAUGAAUAACAAGCCUUUCAUUCUCAUGCUUCAGGAGAGGAAAGAUGGAAGUCAAUGGGAAGGGGCUUGCAGCAAUGCUCUUGCAUAACACUUGGGUUUUUUCCCAAUAUACUUAAAUCAAAAAUAGCACAAGUUGCAUUUUAUUAAUUAACUGCAGGCCAAGGCAGAAUAGAACUUGAAUAGUUGUGUUUACUUUCUGCUCUAUGGCAAAUACAGAACACUUCAGCAAGCAGUUUAUAUACAAGUGCUACUUCUGUUUUCAUGGUUUGCACACCAUUGAGAGCAGCCCUUGGAAUGCUUUUGCAACUGAGAAGCAAAAGCCUGGAUAGAACCAAAUCCCUUUGUCAGCCCAGUAAUGAGGACAGUAUCAAUUAUUCCACACGUACCAGAGGCUAAAU